Molecule: long non-coding RNA, 821 nt
Filed under: Phoenix dactylifera (date palm)
Lineage: Eukaryota; Viridiplantae; Streptophyta; Magnoliopsida; Arecales; Arecaceae
Description: long non-coding RNA (PDAC_LNC017873)
Source: RNAcentral
UUCUUGUUAGCGGCCCAUGGUAGAUUCAAGCUAGGGAAAAGCCCAAAUUACAAUGACAACAGCCAGAAGAACCACUAACAUAGACUCUAGGAAGGAAUAUUACAAGAUGAAAAGUCGAUAUGCAAGAUGGCGACAGAACUGCUGCCUCACAUACAUUCGAGUGUUGUCCACUGCUGGCGAAUGCCAUACAACAUGCACCACAUGGUAUGGAUAUAUGUACACUGUGUUCUGUGAACCGGUCUAUUGCAGUCCAUGCUGAUUGGCAAGAAUUGAUGCAUACCAUUAUGGACUCAUCUUUUCCAUAUUGCAGCCUGUAAUGUGGCUAAGCACAUACCUAGACAGCAUAAUAUCAUACCAACCAGCGACUGACAUAGGUGCAACAAGCAGUAGCUUUCUUAUUAACCUUACAGAGCUGCCUUGCAACUUGAACAGCAGAAUAGCUGGCAUAUGUUCUAUUGAAUUGAAGGAAAAUGAGUGAAGAUAGGCAACAAAUAAAGGGCAAGCAUGGUGAGAGAAGAGAUGGGUCUUGAAGGCAUCUGAACAUGGCAAUAUUGUUCAAGAAACUAACCUAGAUGGUUGGGAUAUGCACAUUACACAUAGAUGGUCAUGAUUUUUCAUCUAGGGCAUUGAAGUAGAAAUGAAGCUACUACAGUUAAAGUUAAGCAGCACCUAGUCAAAAGACCAAAGCAGUUUUUCAAGUUAUAAGGCCAAAGCAGUCUUUCAAUUAAUUCCCCAGGCUUUUCCAAUUCUUUUCAACUACCCAACAAAUGUUGUAAAUUAUACCUAAAGCAGGUGUUUUUAAAAUAUCUGCCUCUCCACAU